CCUACGGGAGGCAGCAGUGAGGAAUAUUGGUCAAUGGGCGCGAGCCUGAACCAGCCAAGUAGCGUGAAGGAUGACUGCCCUACGGGUUGUAAACUUCUUUUAUAAGGGGAUAAAGUGAGGCAAGUGUGCCUUUUUGUAUGUACUUUAUGAAUAAGGAUCGGCUAACUCCGUGCCAGCAGCCGCGGUAAUACGGAGGAGCCGAGCGUUAUCCGGAUUGAUUGGGUUUAAAGGGAGCGUAGAUGGGUUUGUAAGUCAGUUGUGAAAGUUUGCGGCUCAACCGCAAAAUUGCAAUUGAUACUGGCAGGCUGGAGUACAGUAGAGGUAGGCGGAAUUCGUGGUGUAGCGGUGAAAUGCUUAGAUAUCACGAAGAACUCCGAUUGCGAAGGCAGCUUACUAAACUGCCACUGACAUUGAUGCUCGAAAGUGUGGGGAUCAAACAGGAUUAGAUACCCCAGUAGUC
RNAcentral lists this ribosomal RNA (460 nucleotides) under uncultured bacterium. Its description in RNAcentral is "partial 16S ribosomal RNA". It matches the Rfam family "Bacterial small subunit ribosomal RNA", at positions 338 to 795 of the family's 1533-position model. The record is from RNAcentral.